RNAcentral lists this ribosomal RNA (253 nucleotides) under uncultured bacterium. Its description in RNAcentral is "partial 16S ribosomal RNA". It matches the Rfam family "Bacterial small subunit ribosomal RNA", at positions 524 to 776 of the family's 1533-position model. The record is from RNAcentral.
UACGUAGGGGGCAAGCGUUGUCCGGAAUCAUUGGGCGUAAAGCGCGCGUAGGUGGCCAUGUAAGUCCGCUGUGAAAGUCGAAGGCUCAACCUUCGAAAGCCGGUGGAUACUGCAUGGCUAGAGUACGGAAGAGGCGAGUGGAAUUCCUGGUGUAGCGGUGGAAUGCGCAGAUAUCAGGAGGAACACCAAUAGCGAAGGCAGCUCGCUGGGACGUUACUGACACUGAGGCGCGAAAGCGUGGGGAGCGAACAGG